Molecule: ribosomal RNA, 472 nt
Filed under: uncultured bacterium
Lineage: Bacteria
Description: partial 16S ribosomal RNA
Rfam family: Bacterial small subunit ribosomal RNA
Source: RNAcentral
GACGAACGCUGGCGGCGUGCUUAACACAUGCAAGUCGAACGCUGAAGCUUGGUGCUUGCACUGGGUGGAUGAGUGGCGAACGGGUGAGUAAUACGUGAGUAACCUGCCCUUGACUCUGGGAUAAGUCUGGGAAACUGGGUCUAAUACUGGAUAUGACAUGCCACUGCAUGGUGGUGUGUGGAAAGGGUUUUACUGGUUUUGGAUGGGCUCACGGCCUAUCAGCUUGUUGGUGGGGUAAUGGCCUACCAAGGCGACGACGGGUAGCCGGCCUGAGAGGGUGACCGGCCACACUGGGACUGAGACACGGCCCAGACUCCUACGGGAGGCAGCAGUGGGGAAUAUUGCACAAUGGGCGGAAGCCUGAUGCAGCGACGCCGCGUGAGGGAUGACGGCCUUCGGGUUGUAAACCUCUUUCAGCACGGAAGAAGCGAGAGUGACGGUACGUGCAGAAGAAGCGCCGGCUAACUACGUG